ACGUACAGUCUGUAUUUCCUGGACCACCUGGUCAAGGCCCUGCAGAAGAUGUGCCUGCAUGAGCUCACCGUCCCCGUCCUGCAGCUGGGGGUGCUGAUUUCGGAGUCCGUGGUGGGAAGCAAGGGCCUGGCGGAUCUCUACCGCCUCCGCCUCGCCCACGUGUGCUCCGAGCUGAAGCUGACGGAGGCAGCGGCACAGCACGAAGAGGCGGUCGGGCAGGUGCACAUCAGUGAGCUGGAGCAGGCCAGCUGCAGAAAAGAGAUCGCACUGAAAAAAGAGAAAAACAAGGAGCCCUCAUUAGAAGAAAGCCUGCCGGUGCUCAGCCAGCAGACCCUCACCGCCCGCUCUGUCGAGAUCAAACCACUGGAAGCCAAGGACAAGAUUUUGAAGAUGAAUGGGGAGACUGGGAGGGGCCUCGAUGGGACGUCCUAUCCGCACCUGUGGCUUCUGAAGGCAGAGGUUCUGCUGGAGAUGAGCCUGUACCAGCCUGCACGGCUGCUCCUGUCCGAGGCGAACCUGGCUUUCCAGGAGCUGGAUGAGCCUUGCGCAGAGGCCCGGUGCCUGUUCCUCCUGGCACAGCUGGCCAACAGGGAGAAGAACUAUGGACAAGCCAAGAGAAUGAUCGCACAGGCCCAGCACCUGGGCGGGAACGAGGAGUUCUGGUACGAUUCCACGCUGACCCUGGCAGAGGCGCUCUUGUCGACGGAACACCCAGGACGAGAAGCUACGGUGUGCCACAUAUUCCAGAAGCUCAUCAGUGCCCUCAAGAUUCUCAAGAAAGAAAGACCAAACCGAAUGCCGUUGUUAGAAUUCAUGAUCACAGACCUAGAAGCCAGGUGCCUGAGCCUGCGGGUCAGAGUUGCACAGGAGUCUGCUGUCACGGAACCCACAGAGUGCUCGCUGCUGCUGAAGGAGCUGGACGACAGCUUGUUGGAUAUUGAGAGAAGGUUUAUUGACUGUGGCUACAAAGAGAAUUGUGUUGACGUCAAACUAGAGCGUGCGAAGAUCAAGAGGUUACGUGCCCAGAACGAGAAAGAUGAAGAACAGAAAACUGCAUAUUACUUGGAGGCGUAUGGCCUGGCGCAGAGCGCUGUGGCUGAGGAAGAAGAGAGGUUCCAGAGCAUCCGGGCCUUGUUGUUGCUUCACAAUGUGCAGAACGUCAACACGCCUCUGAUGAGGAAGCUGGCGCGCCUCAAACUCGGCCUGGUGGAGAUGGCUCUGGGCAUGCUCCAGUUCAUCUGGGAGGGGGCCCGCGGGCCGCGGAGCGAGCAGGGGUCCCUGGAGAAGCUGCUGGCAGAGUAUCUGCAGAACACCAGCGACGACACUUCCGUUGGCCUGCAAUGGUUCACGCUGAAGCGCACCCUGGCACACGGGGCACUGGCGCAGCUGGGGAGCCUGCAGCCGCUGAGUGUGGGCUGCGUGGAGAUCCGUGCCCGGCUCCUGGGACUGGCCGGGAGGGCCAUCCACCUGCUGGCCGUGCAAGCCGACCCUGUGCGCCCCGCCUGCUACUGGGAGGAGGAACCCUCGGUGGGCGCCAAGCUGAGCAACCUCAGGUCUCUGGAGCUGGAAGCAGAGGAAGAGGAUGCCACAAAGUCCAGCAGGGACCUGCCAGCCUCCAGGGCGGCCCUGGAGGAGCACAGCAGGAGACGCGGGGACCUGAAGAGGAGGAUGGUUCUGGCCCAGCGGUACCUGGCACAGGCGUCAGAGGUGUUGCUGCAGUGCCUACACGUGGCCCUUGGCAGUGGCCUCCUGGACGUGGCGGCAGCCGCCAGCCUGGAGAUGGUGGAGUGCAUCGGCGCCCUGGACCCUGCUACUACCUGCCAGUUCCUGGCGCUGUCUCAGAGCUGCUCGGCCUCAGAGACGAUGAGGGAUGUCCUGCUCGCAGCCACGGCCGACACCAGCAGCUCCCAGCUGGCGGCCCUUCUGCAGCUGCAGCAGCAGCUCCGGCGCCAGGACAGGACCACCACCGGCCUGGGCGCCAGCGUGGAGCAGAGGCUGGCUGCUGUGUCCAAGGCUUGGCAAAACCUCUGCGUCACUGAGCAGCAUUUUAACCUCUUGAAUGAGAUACCUCCCACCUUUCGGCUGCUCUUUCUGCAGCUGUCACCGGACAGGUCCCAUCUGUACAGCGCUGCCUAUGAGAAACCCAAGUUCAUUCCUGUGGCCAAAGGAAAGGUGCAGCACGUCGGAGGCCCCUGCAAGGUGAUGCGGCUGGCUGUGAGUCCCACCGCCUUCUCCCACCUGCUGGCCUGUGCCCAGGAGUUCCGGCAGGAGAUGCAGGCCCAGGUGUACACAGAGGACCUGCUGCAGAGCACAGGCUCGGAGCCAGAAGGCCUGCAGGCGGAAGAGAAGCAGCCCGCGGUGCACAGUCCCCGCAGCGUCCUGGAGGCCCUGGAGGAGCUUCUGCGGCCGCUCUUCCCCGUGCUCGGUGUCCCCGAGGCCAGAGUGCAGAUGCCCGUGAUGGUUGCAGAUUCAGGGAAGCCCAAGGGUAAAGACAAGGAGAGGAAACCGUCCACAGGGCCACAGAACACAGCCCAGCCCGAGGUGGCUGAUAAGAUCGUCCUGGUCGCAGACAGAGAUCUCCUGGAGCUGCCACUGGAAGGUCUCUCCGUGUUCGAUGAGGGGACAAUUUCCUCUGUGUCACGAGAAUUUUCUCUCCAAAUGUUAUGGAAUCGCCUCCGUAAAGAAGAGACAGAAGGUGGCGUGAAAAAGGAGGGGAGAAGCAGAGACCCCAAGAAGAGAAGCCUGUCGAAGAAGGGCAAGAAGGGCAGCUUCCCCCGGGUCAUACCCCCCGACAGCAUCCUGGUCGACUCGGACAACUUCAAGUUCAUCGUGGACCCGUAUGAGGAAGCCCAGGGCCCAGAAAUGCUGACUCCUGUCUCCAUCACCCAAGAAAUUUUGGAAAGAUUCCAAGACACGUUCACGUCGCGAUGGGUGGGACAUCUGGGGAGCAAGCAGUUUCCCAGCCAGGCCCAGUGGGAGCAGGCUCUGGGCAGCUGCAGCGGCUUCUUCUUCUAUGGGAUGGAGCGCCUCCUGUCCCAUAUAUUAGUGGAGAGAUUGGUCGCCAUGAACUUGCAAGAGUGCCAGGUGCUGGUCGUGCUGGACCUGGCGCGGUCCUACCAGAGCAUGAGGCGGCACAUGGAGAGCCCGGAGCACAGGAGUGCCUCAAAGCCAUCCCUGGAGGAUCCCGUCAACGUGGCCAUCCUGCUGAGCCUGGUGGGGGUCAAGAGCAUCCUGGCGAACCAGUGGUCCACACUGCUGCAGGACAACGCGCUGCGGGCCAGCGUCCUUUGGGAAAAUCUGUUGGCCGUGGGGAAGCCGGUUGGAGAAACCGUGCGCCUCCUUCAGGAGAUGAGCGGGGAUGAGGCGGUGAACCAAGACGAGGCUUCUCAGACCUUGAAGGACAAGGUGCUCCUGCAGCUGCAGCCACAGCUCCAAAGCUCCGAGCUCCUUCCCACCACGCUCAACUUGGUCCUGUACGGGCUGCCACACCAAGCCGUCGGGUAGUGCGGGCCUGGACACCGCCCUCCGCCCUGCCCCUCUGCCAACCCACGGCCCUCCCAUCCCCACCGCCGGGCUCGCUCUCCCCAGCCCUUGGUGCAGCCUCAGCCUGAGACCUUCCUCCGUGCCCUCCUGCCGGGCGGUCACCUGGACCUCCAGCUCUGCUUGCCCAUGUGCGCCAUGCGGUCUGUGUUGGGGCUGGAGCUGCGUCUCUCCCUAGGGCCAGGAAGAGCCUCCUCCCAUCAGGAGGCUUCCAAAGCCCCAGGCUCAUUUAUGCUGGCAGCAAAACCGCCUUUCCCUGGGGAGGAGGCACCCCCGGCAGAGCCCCAGGAUGCCGACAAAGGCUCUCAGCGCCACGCCGCCGCUGGGUCACUCAGACCAGGAGCACCUUUAGGACCUGUUAGGCUGUUUUCGAUUUGAGUGUUCUAGUAAACAACAAAAGCCAGUCUCUGUGCGUGGUCUCUGUGAGUGUGUGUGUGUGAUCUCCGUGAGUGUGUGUGUGUGGUCUCUGUGUGUGUGUUUGUGGUCUCUGGGAGUGUGUGUGUGUGGUCUCUGGGAGUGUGUGUGUGUGGUCUCUGGGAGUGUCUGUGUGUGGUCUCUGGGAGUGUGUGUGUGUGAUCUCCGUGAGUGUGUGUAUGGUCUCUGUGAGUGUGUGUGGUCUCUGGGAGUGUGUGUGUGUGGUCUCUGGGACUUGAGGCUCUUUGUGUGGUCUCUUCGAGUGUGUGUGUGUGGUCUCCAGGACUCAAGGCUCUGUGUGUGGUCUCUGCCACUGGGAGUGUCUGUGUGUGGUCUCUGUGAGUGUGUGUGUGUGGUCUCUGUGAGUGUCUGUGUGUGGUCUGAGUCUCUGUGUGUGGUCUCUAUGAGUCUCUGUGUGUGGUCUGAGUCUCUGUGUGUGGUCUCUAUGAGUCUCUGUGUGUGGUCUCUGCCACUCGAGUGUCUGUGUGUGGUCUCUAUGAGUCUCUGUGUGUG
This is a long non-coding RNA of Saimiri boliviensis boliviensis (Bolivian squirrel monkey), 4467 nucleotides long. The record is from Ensembl. Lineage: Eukaryota; Metazoa; Chordata; Mammalia; Primates; Cebidae.